RNAcentral lists this ribosomal RNA (253 nucleotides) under uncultured bacterium. RNAcentral describes it as "partial 16S ribosomal RNA". It matches the Rfam family "Bacterial small subunit ribosomal RNA", at positions 524 to 776 of the family's 1533-position model. The record is from RNAcentral.
UACGAAGGGGGCUAGCGUUGCUCGGAAUCACUGGGCGUAAAGCGCACGUAGGCGGCUUUCUAAGUCAGGGGUGAAAUCCUGGAGCUCAACUCCAGAACUGCCUUCGAUACUGGAGAGCUUGAGUCCGGAAGAGGUGAGUGGAACUCCGAGUGUAGAGGUGAAAUUCGUAGAUAUUCGGAAGAACACCAGUGGCGAAGGCGGCUCACUGGUCCGGUACUGACGCUGAGGUGCGAAAGCGUAGGUAGCGAACAGG